RNAcentral lists this long non-coding RNA (233 nucleotides) under Lotus japonicus. Its description in RNAcentral is "long non-coding RNA (LJAP_LNC001990)". The record is from RNAcentral. Lineage: Eukaryota; Viridiplantae; Streptophyta; Magnoliopsida; Fabales; Fabaceae.
AACAAUAAAUUGUAAGAAAGUCUUCUGACAACCUCAUAAUUAUAAAAAAAAAAGUUCUUAAACUUCUAGAAACUAACUUUAGUCCUCAAAUUUUCCAAGAUUUACACAUUUGGCCAAAAACUUCUAGAACACAUAGUUUUAGUCCCAAAAUUUAAUUUCAAGCAUCAAAACAUUAGUAAAACUCAAAUAACUCAUGCAUCAACAUUUAGCAAGUUCCAACAACAAAAACUUGG